CCUACGGGAGGCAGCAGUGAGGAAUAUUGGUCAAUGGGCGCAAGCCUGAACCAGCCAAGUAGCGUGCAGGAUGACUGCCCUACGGGUUGUAAACUUCUUUUAUAAAGGAAUAAAUUGCGUCACGUGUGCCUUUUUGUAUGUACUUUAUGAAUAAGGAUCGGCUAACUCCGUGCCAGCAGCCGCGGUAAUACGGAGGAUCCGAGCGUUAUCCGGAUUUAUUGGGUUUAACGGGAGCGUAGAUGGGUUGUUAAGUCAGUUGUGAAAGUGUGCGGCUCAACCGUAAAAUUGCAAUGGAUACUGGCAGGCUGGAGUACAGUGGACGUAGGCGGAAUUCGUGGUGUAGCGGUGAAAUGCUUAGAUAUCACGAAGAACUCCGAUUGCGAAGGCAGCUUACUAAACUGCCACUGACAUUGAUGCUCGAAAGUGUGGGUAUCAAACAGGAUUAGAUACCCCAGUAGUC
Molecule: ribosomal RNA, 460 nt
Filed under: uncultured bacterium
Lineage: Bacteria
Description: partial 16S ribosomal RNA
Rfam family: Bacterial small subunit ribosomal RNA
Source: RNAcentral